CAGUCGCCGCGGUAAUACGUAGGUGGCAAGCGUUGUCUGGAAUUAUUGGGCGUAAAGGGCUCGCAGGCGGUUUCUUAAGUCUGAUGUGAAAGCCCCCGGCUCAACCGGGGAGGGUCAUUGGAAACUGGGAAACUUGAGUGCAGAAGAGGAGAGUGGAAUUCCACGUGUAGCGGUGAAAUGCGUAGAGAUGCGGAGGAACACCAGUGGCGAAGGCGACUCUCUGGUCUGUAACUGACGCUGAGGAGCGAAAGCGUGGGGAGCGAACAGGAUUAGAUACCCGCGUAGUCCCUGUCUCUUAUAC
This 301-nucleotide ribosomal RNA is filed under the name uncultured bacterium. Its description in RNAcentral is "partial 16S ribosomal RNA". It matches the Rfam family "Bacterial small subunit ribosomal RNA", at positions 509 to 807 of the family's 1533-position model. The record is from RNAcentral.